Molecule: long non-coding RNA, 3774 nt
Organism: Oncorhynchus kisutch (coho salmon)
Lineage: Eukaryota; Metazoa; Chordata; Actinopteri; Salmoniformes; Salmonidae
Source: Ensembl
UUACGCACAGCAAGGUAGAAAUACUUCCGGGAUUUGAAUGUAGUUUUGAUAUUUUGUUUUACAUUUCCGGUUUUCAGAAAAGUUCCAAUUGUACUUUUGUCCCAAAGUCUCUAAUAGUUUCCUGGCGCAGUUUUACAUUGAUCUAGAGAUUAAAUCCAAAGAAAACGGACGAAGAAAUACACCUGAAAGACCUAGAAGAAAGAAAGGAAGGAUGAUGGUGGAGGGGGAGAACCAGAGAGGGGAGACCCUCAUACCCAGCGAGGGAGAGGGGUCUGGUGGACAGGAGGCCAUCCACAUGAAGGAGUCCGUUGUCGAGGACAACACAGAACCCGAUGAGGGUUCACGGAAGCCAACCACAGGACCAGUGGUUGUCACGGGAAACCAGAAAAUGCCCGCCAUCGAGAAACUGGAACAGGUUCGCAAAUGGAGCAUCACUACUUAUAAGUGUACUAAGCAGGUUCUGUCAGAGAAGAUGGGUCGUGGAUCCCGUACGGUCGACCCAGAACUCGAGGCCCGCAUCGACAUUCUCCGUGAUGACCGCCGCCGUUAUGAUCACGUGACCUGCCUGGCCCAGACACUCGCCACGCAGCUCGCCCAGGUCACACAGACGCAAAGGACUCUGGGCGAUGCCUUCACCGAGCUCAGCCUCAAAACGCCGCCACUACACGUAGAGUUUGGUCUGAACGGGGACACCCAGCGGUUCCUGUCGAAGAGCGGAGAGGUCAUGGUCUCGGCUGUGAACUCUUUCACCUCCGAUAUGAACACACUGGUGAACAAAACUAUAGAGGACACCAUGGUUAACGUGAAACACUACGAGACAGCCAGGAUAGAGUACGAUGCGUACCGUUGUGACCUGGAGGACUUGAACCUGGGACCUCGAGACACCGCCACCCUCCCCAAACUAGAGCAGGCCCAGAGAACCUUCCAGAACCAGAGAGAGAAGUAUGAGAAGAGCCGAAACGACCUGUCAGUCAAACUCAAACUACUGGAGGAGAAUAAGGUAAAGGUUCUCCAGCAUCAGUUGGUAUUGUUCCAUGGUGCUGUAGCCUCCAACAGCACCUCCAACCACCAGCACCUGGAGCUCAGCCUGCAGCAGGCAAGCACCAAGCUACCCAUGCCUGGCACGGAGCCUCCUUCCUGGCUAGAGGAGAGCUCAUCACCCCAAUAACCAUCCACCAUGUCUGGGGGCCCAUGAAACCUUCCAGUAUCUUAAUGCAAGUUGGGGCCUCUCAACUGCCACAUCUGUGGGCCAAAACAGAGGGUAUUGUCGACAUUCCUGUUCUCUUAUCCUAUAGGGCCUAUAGGUUCUCCUCUUACCCUAUAGGUUCUCCUCUUGCCCUAUAGGUCCUAUAGGUUCUUCUCUUACCUCAUAGGUUCUUCUCUUACCUCAUAGGUUCUUCUCUUACCUCAUAGGUUCUUCUCUUACCUCAUAGGUUCUUCUCUUACCUCAUAGGUUCUUCUCUUACCGUAUAGGUUCUUCUCUUACCCUAUAGGUUCUUCUCUUACCCUAUAGGUCCUCCUCUUACCCUAUAUGUCCUAUAGGUUCUCCUCUUACCCUAUAGGUUAUUCUCUUACCCUAUAGGUUCUCCUCUUACCCAAUAGAUCCUAUAGGUUCUCCUCUUACCCUAUAGGUUCUCCUCUUACCCUAUAGGACCUAUAGGUUCUCCUCUUACCCUAUAGGUCCUAUAGGUUCUCCUCUUACUCUAUAGGUCCUAUAGGUUCUCCUCUUACCCUAUAGGUCCUAUAGGUUCUCCUCUUACCCUACAGAUUCUCCUCUUACCCUAUAGAUCCUAUAGGUUAUUCUCUUACCCUAUAGGUUCUCCUCUUACCCAAUAGAUCCUAUAGGUUAUUCUCUUACCCUAUAGGUUAUUCUCUUACCCUAUAGGUUCUCCUCUUACCCUAUAGGUUCUCCUCUUACCCUAUAGGUCCUCCUCUUACCCUAUAGGUCCUCCUCUUACCCUAUAUGUCCUAUAGGUUCUCCUCUUACCCUAUAGGUUAUUCUCUUACCCUAUAGGUUCUCCUCUUACCCAAUAGAUCCUAUAGGUUCUCCUCUUACCCUAUAGGUUCUCCUCUUACCCUAUAGGUUCUCCUCUUACCCUAUAGGUUCUCCUCUUACCCUAUAGGACCUAUAGGUUCUCCUCUUACUCUAUAGGUCCUAUAGGUUCUCCUCUUACCCUAUAGGUCCUAUAGGUUCUCCUCUUGUCCUAUAGGUUCUCCUCUUACCCUAUAGGUCCUAUAGGUUCUCCUCUUACCCUAUAGGUCCUAUAGGUUCUCCUCUUACCCUAUAGGUUCUCCUCUUACCCUAUAGGUUCUCCUCUUACCCUAUAGGUCCUAUAGGUUCUCCUCUUACCCUAUAGGUUCUCCUCUUACCCUACAGAUUCUCCUCUUACCCUAUAGAUCCUAUAGGUUAUUCUCUUACCCUAUAGGUGACCUGACAAUAGACUGUUGUUCACUCUGUUUCUGCUACUUGUAUACAGUGGUGUGACCUGACUAUAGACUGUUGUUCACUCUGUUUCUCCUAUUCACUGACUGUAUAGGAGUUCUGUUUGGCAGUAGCAUUGUUACUAUCACAGCAUUUGUGUUAUUAUUAUGUAUACAGUAUGUACAGUUCUCCUGUAUUGACUAAUGCUGUGUCCAAAAUGUCACCCUGUUCCCUACGUCGUUCACUACCUUUGGAGCUCUAUAAAGGGAAGUGCGUAGCAUGUGGGGACGCAGCCUACAACUAAAGGACCAAACUAACAUGCAGUGCUGAGAUAUGGAACCAAAGCCAGAGACUGUAGAAUGUUUGAGACCGUUAGAACCUUUUACACUCUAGAACCUUCUUGGACUUUAUAAGGAUCUUUUAGAUUCCUACCAGAAUCAACUGAGCAAAAAUGUACAAAAUACGCACAAAACAAUUUCAAAGAUUUUACCGAGUUGCAAUUCAUAUAAAGGAAAUCAGUCGACGUAAAUCAAUUCAUUAGGUCCCUAAUCUAUGGAUUUCACAUGACUGUACAGGGGUGCAGCCGUGGAGGGCAUAGGCCCACAGAAAUACUCCCCCCUCCCCGAUCCUACAGGUGAUGUAGCCAGAUGUGAGGUCCUGGGUUGUCGUGGUUACAUGUGGUCUGCAGUUGUGAGGCCGGUUGGACGUACUGCCAGAUUCUCUAAAACAACAUUGGAGGUGGCUUAUAGUAGAGAAAUGAACAUUCAAUUAUCUGGCAACAACUAUGGUGGACAUUCCUGCUAUCAACAUGCCAAUUACACUCUCCCUCAACUUGAGACAUCUGUAGCAUUUUAGUGGCCUUUUAGUGUCCCCGGCACAAGGUGCACCUAUGUACUGAUCAUGCUGUUUUUAAUCAGAUUCUUGAUUAUGCCACACCUGUCAGGUGGAUGGAUUAUCUUGACAAAGGAGAAAAUACUCACUAACAGGGAUGUCAACACAUUGGUGCACAACAUUUGGGAGAAAUAAGCUUAUUGUGUGUACGGAACAACAGCUCAUGAAAACUUGGGACCAACACUUUUUUCCGUUUUUGUGUUUUGUAUUUUUGUUCGGUGUAAUUCCAAACGCAUCUUUUGCACUUGUCUAUCUACCAAAAAUAACAAUUGUGUAUAAUUGAAUAUAAACGCAAUUUAAUGCCAAAUAUCGAGAUCAACAUUUAUUCUUUGUGUAUAACGUACGUGUUUUUGAUUCUUUUAAAAUAGGAAAUUCAAAAAGCACUCGCACAUCUUCGUUAUCUUCGUUGCAGGUGCAUGAUAACGGUUGAAUAAAACGAGACAAAAAAGGAGAAGCCUACA